Molecule: unclassified non-coding RNA, 346 nt
Filed under: Hevea brasiliensis (rubber tree)
Lineage: Eukaryota; Viridiplantae; Streptophyta; Magnoliopsida; Malpighiales; Euphorbiaceae
Source: RNAcentral
AGGGGAUUCAGUUUUCCCUUUCUUUAGCAUUAGGGUUUUCAAUGUUGUUCGUCUUCUUAGUUAUGUUCCUGUUGGCAAAUCUUCGGGUUUUCAGAUUUUGGCAUUGCUGACUGGGAUGGUUGUCAUUGUUAUAUCACCGUUGAUUAGCUUGAUGCAUGAUCAGAUGGCUUUUCUGCUUCCUUCCUUUGAUCUGGCAUAACUGAUAGUGUUGAACAAAAAGCAAUGGCAGGCAUGUAUAGCAUCAUUUAUGUAUGCCCUGAACAAUUCUAAGCCUCAUAAAACCCUUCCAAAACUUGCAGAAAGUCUUAGAAUUGCUCUAUUUGCAGUUGAUGAAGUUCAUUUGUUU